CCUACGGGAGGCAGCAGUGGGGAAUUUUGGACAAUGGGGGCAACCCUGAUCCAGCCAUGCCGCGUGUGUGAAGAAGGCCUUCGGGUUGUAAAGCACUUUCGGACGGAACGAAAUCGCGCGAUCUAAUAAGUCGCGUGGAUGACGGUACCGUAAGAAGAAGCACCGGCUAACUACGUGCCAGCAGCCGCGGUAAUACGUAGGGUGCGAGCGUUAAUCGGAAUUACUGGGCGUAAAGUGUGCGCAGGUGGCUGAGCAAGUCGAGUGUGAAAUCCCCGGGCUUAACUUGGGAAUUGCGCUCGAAACUACUUGGCUCGAGUGUGGCAGAGGAAGGUGGAAUUCCAGGUGUAGCGGCGAAAUGCGUAGAGAUCUGGAGGAACACCGAUGGCGAAGGCAGCCUUCUGGGCCAACACUGACGCUCAUGCACGAAAGCGUGGGGAGCAAACAGGAUUAGAUACCCUGGUAGUCCACGCCCUAAACGAUGAUGACUAGUUGUUGUGGGAGUUAAAUCCCUUAGUAACGCAGCUAACGCGUGAAGUCAUCCGCCUGGGGAGUACGGUCGCAAGAUUAAAACUCAAAGGAAUUGACGG
RNAcentral lists this ribosomal RNA (587 nucleotides) under uncultured bacterium. RNAcentral's name for it is "bacterial SSU rRNA". It matches the Rfam family "Bacterial small subunit ribosomal RNA", at positions 338 to 916 of the family's 1533-position model. The record is from RNAcentral.